AGACAAUGCCACAGAAUCUUUGCUAUCAUACAGCAUAUCUGAUGGAUGUAGAAGAGGCAGAGUUACAGACAGAGGAAAGGAGAAAGAAAUACGUCUUCUACAUGCUGGUUCACUCCCCAAAUGUCCACAACUCAGUGGGCCAAUCUGAUGCCAGGAGCCAGGUGCUUCUUUCAGCUUAUUAAUCUAUACUCUUCUGGUGAUGUGAAACGGUAGAAUGUCUACAUGAUGAGAUGAAGGGAAAACAAUGAUGUAGGCAUUGGGAAGCAGCAUCAGGGUACUGUGAAGGAUUACGUCCAGGUAAUGCUAUCAUUGUAAUACUAUAGCAACUGAUGAGAUAAGUAUUUAGUAAGCAGAUAAACCAUACAAUAUGUAUAUGUUAGACAAACCGAGAAUGAGAAUUCCUGUACCGGAAAACACACAGUGGGAUUGUGCCAAAUUUCAUCACACUACUCAUAAUAUGCAAUUUAACACUCAUAAAUUGUUAAUGUAUGGAAAUUUCCAUCUAAAAAUGUUGACUGCAAGUAAUUGAAACAGCAGAAAGCAAAAUGGCAGUUAGGGGAAUAGUGCUGUGCAA
This is a non-coding RNA of Oryctolagus cuniculus (rabbit), 574 nucleotides long. Lineage: Eukaryota; Metazoa; Chordata; Mammalia; Lagomorpha; Leporidae. The record is from RefSeq and is a predicted model, not a curated record.